CAACAUACCGUGAAACAUUCUGUUGGAAAAUGUGACAGAAAAGCCACUGAGAAAAUGCAGAAUUCAGUAGGUAAAAUGUACCAAAGCAGUUCGAGAGGCAGACUUACUACCAUUCAAUCUGGGGUCUGUUGGGCUCUGGCACAGAAGAACAAGAAAGGCAAUGGUAGAAAGAAAACCUGGGUUCUCAUCCAGCCUUCAUCUCUAAAAAGCUCUGAGAUCUUGGACGGUUCACUUAAUUUGUCUGUUUUCAAUGACCUCAUCUAUUAAAUGGACUUACUAUCAUUACAAGAAAUGGAGUUUCUGCUGAGGAUUAAGUACACGAUGUGGGUUCUUAAGAAGUCAGCUUUGGUGCUGUAAUGAACAAUCACAGACAUCAAUACACCUGAAGAAGGUAAUCCUGACCUCCGCUUUACCCU
RNAcentral lists this long non-coding RNA (416 nucleotides) under Cercocebus atys (sooty mangabey). RNAcentral describes it as "lncRNA (ENSCATG00000045782.1)". The record is from RNAcentral. Lineage: Eukaryota; Metazoa; Chordata; Mammalia; Primates; Cercopithecidae.